This 1086-nucleotide long non-coding RNA is filed under the name Nicotiana tabacum (common tobacco). Its description in RNAcentral is "long non-coding RNA (NTAB_LNC019626)". The record is from RNAcentral. Lineage: Eukaryota; Viridiplantae; Streptophyta; Magnoliopsida; Solanales; Solanaceae.
CGAUGAGGUUUGCCUACAUAUCUCACAUGCGGUGAGAAUCAGACCCGCGUAGCUCGUCCUGUUUUGACGGAACAAGGGAAACAUGACUUUUUGAAAACAUUAACUUAUUUUCUUUCUUUUUUUAAAAAGAUUUCGGGAGAGUUUCGAAAUGUUUCAAAUACCUAUCUCACUCUUGUUUUUUUCUUGAUUUUCCUCUCGCUGCAUGCAAGUGCAAAUCAAUGGAACGCUCGAAAAGCCUGGAAAAGAUGAGGAAGGAAUUGGCACGGUGGGACUAUGCGGUGAGCGGGGUCUUGUUAAAUCGUUUAUGAGGAUUUGCGAGCAAAUAAAGGAGAAGAUGGCCACCGAUGAGUAUGCUUCUCUCUCUCUCUCUCUCUUGAUUUUUGGCUCUUUUGAUAUGUAAUUUUCUUGGGUUUUGUCUAUUAUUUGGUUAUAAUAAUGAGAUUUUAAUUAUUCUUGUCACAUUACCUUAACGAUUAUAGACCCAUUUGUAAAUUUAACUCAAAUCACUCCCGGGGAAGAAAAUUAAACAAACAUAUACUUGCAUUUCUUACUCGAAUUUUUAAGACUCGAGGCAAUUGGUUAGAUCAUUAUGUCCUCCAUUUUCUUCUUCUAGCGUAUAUGAGUUCCAAAAUUAUAAGGAGAUGACUAUAUAGUUUGAGGAGAUCUUCAUUUGCAAAUUCUCAACUCUGAUUGAUUAUAUAUUCCUUCAGGAUUUCUCUUUGGAAAAUGACUCCAACACCCUUGGUUGAUGCGAAACCAUACAGAUUUUGACGAUUUGAAAGAUAUGAUUGAAAACUUUGACUGGGAUAUUGCAAAGACUAUGCACGGAAGAUUGUACAAAGGUGUCAUUCGCGAUGACAAAAGUGGACAAGUGCUAGAAGUUACUAUCAAGACAUGGGAUUUCUUUUUUCCAAACUAGAGGUACAAUGGUGACCAUCAGAUUUUGUGUAUGUUACAUAUCGGAUCCCGUUUCUCUUUCUCUCUCCCUCUCCCUCUCUCUCUAUCUCAGUAUUUGUGGCUAAACUAUUUAGAAAAUUUGCAGAAUGAGCUUGAAAUAUUGACGGAUAAGAGUGGUAAUCUCUACGA